GAAGGCUGUUACACUGUGGUCUCAGAACUGCUACUCCCCAUUUUUUCCUAUAAAGAUAUUCUGCUUCUCUCCUCUCAAAGGUAAACAUGAAACCCAGUCUCACCAAUGAUAAUUAUCUCACUCAGAUGUACACAGUGACUUUUCAAGGGAUAAGCACAUAAUCCGAGUUAAGCAAAUCAACAUUUUCUAUAGAAAUAUUUAAUUUGGAAUGGAGAAAAUCACAUUUUCUGAUGUGUGCUUUGUUCUGCUUUGCCACUGAGUUUUGCGAUUGUGAAUAGUGUGCUGUGAGUUGUCACACCUCCUUCAAUGCAUGCUGAUCAUCAGAAAAUAAGCAUGACAUAUGGAAAUAAACCAAACGCAAUGUGUUGGGGAACUACCUCUCCCAAUUCAUGUUCUUUCAUUUGAAAAAGAAAAUUCGGUUAAUGUGACUCAAGGGCUCUUUUGUUCUCUUACACAGAAAAAUAGAAUGACGUCCGCUGACACAUUUGGAAAGACUAAAUUGGACUCUACUUCUUCUGGAAUGGAGCAGACUUCCUGUGACACUACACCUGUUGAGGAAGGAGAUAAUGCAUCAUUACUCCCAGGUGAGGGUGGAAGUUGAAGUUCCCCACUUGACUUGUUUGACACUCCAGAAGGGAAAGUUGCCUCCUUAUUUCUAGGCAGGGUAUAAUUUAAGCUUCCUCAUUGGACCUCUGCUGACACAAUUAUAAUAGUCUUUGUAAGAGACAGUGAGCAUCAAUAGUUCAGGAGUGUCUUUUAGGAAUAGUAAUCAAGAUUUAGUUGUAAGAUACACUGAAGAGUUAGAAUAAACCCUUGGGUGCCAUGUGGAAGAUAAGAAAAGAGGAGUCAAAGAUGGCAUCCAGAUUCAUGUUAUCUGAAUUAGAGAAUGGGGAUGUUAUGACAAAAACAUGGUUUUCAAAUGACCUUUUUUAGUAAUCUUUAAAGCUUUUAUAUGGGGAUAAUGUUUGAUGUGUUUUUGUGCACGAAAAGUUGAAUUGUGAUCCAAGAGACUGUUCAAAUACUGUACAUAUAUAUAAUUCUGCAUAUGAAUAUAUUCUGGGUACACAUAUAUUCUGCAUAUAUAUAUAAUUCUGUAUAUAUAUAUAAAAUAAAACUGUACAUAUAUAUUCUGUAUGUGUAUAAUUACCGAUAUAAUAUAUAUAUCCUGUAAAUAUAUAUAGAAUAUAUAAUACAAUAUAUAAAUAUAUAUUUUGUAGUAUAUAUCUAUAUAUAUAAUGUAGUAUAUAAUAUUAUAUGUAAACAUAACAGUAUUUUUAUUAAAUAUAUUUAUUACAUAAUGUUACAUAUUUUAUAUAUUCUGC
RNAcentral lists this long non-coding RNA (1322 nucleotides) under Callithrix jacchus (white-tufted-ear marmoset). RNAcentral's name for it is "lncRNA (ENSCJAG00000070134.1)". Lineage: Eukaryota; Metazoa; Chordata; Mammalia; Primates; Cebidae. The record is from RNAcentral.